Molecule: long non-coding RNA, 1123 nt
Filed under: Homo sapiens (human)
Lineage: Eukaryota; Metazoa; Chordata; Mammalia; Primates; Hominidae
Description: HSALNT0191864
Source: RNAcentral
GUGUUUUUCCCUUCACAGCUAUUGUAAUAGAUGGUGAUCAUAUAGUCCAUGAUAUCUAAAGUUGAGGAAAUACAGUUCUUUUGUAAAGAGAGGAAAGUUAUUAAACAAACUCUAACUUUUAUGAUGCAUACUUCAAAUUAAAAAAAGAUUUUUGGUAGCUAGGAGAUAUGAAUUAAUAAAAAGUUAAUGAAAUUCAGGUAUACUUAUCACCAUGCAAACUACUCCAAAGAGCCUAGUUAAUCAUUUGGGGAAACUAAAUUAACAUUAAUAGAUCUCCCUUAUGAAUGCUGAAAAAAUAAUGCUAUAAUGUUAGUGAGUAAAUUAAACUUCUAGGAGUACAUACUAUAUUUCUCAAUAGUUAUUCAAAGACUAUGAGAUACUUGUCUCUUUUCCACAUAAAAAGACUUUCUUCAAAUUAGGGAUCCAUUCAAUACAUUGCUCUAUGCCUUCAAUCCACUAUUGAGACCUACGUUGAAACUCUACUUUUCAUGUGUACACUCUAAUGUCUGCCAGUUGGUAAGUUAUGAUUAUCUUGGCUGAUCGUUAUCAAUAAUCCCACGGUGAAAUUCAGAAUAUAUGAGAGACCCAUAAUUAAAAUAUCUGGGAAAGGCUGGGUGCGGUGGCUCAUGCCGGUAAUCCAGCACUUUGGGAGGCUGAGGCGGGCGGAUCACGAGGUCAGGAGAUCGAGACCAUCCUGGCUAACACGGUGAAACCCCGUCUCUAAUAAAAAUACAAAAAAAUUAGCAGGGCGUGGUGGCGGGCGCCUGUAGUCCCAGCUACUCGGGAGGCUGAGGCAGGAGAAUGGCAUGAGCCCGGGAGGCGGAGCUUGCAGUGAGCCGAGAUAGUGCCACUGCACUCCAGCCUGGGCAACAGAGUGAGACUCUGUUUCAAAAAAAAAAAAAAAAAAAAAAACCAAAAAAAAAAAAACUAGGAAAAAAAGCAUGCCCUCUUGACAUACUGAUAUUAAACAAGUCCGUGCAUAUUUCACCUGCUUGGGCUGUUUUCCUUUCUCUUGUCUACCUACGAAAUUCCUACUUCCUCUUCAAGACCCAGCUUGAAUUGCUACCUUUUUUUUCUUUCUUUCUUUCUUUCUUUUUUUUUAAUUAUACUUUAAGUUCUAGGG